RNAcentral lists this non-coding RNA (29 nucleotides) under Homo sapiens (human). Lineage: Eukaryota; Metazoa; Chordata; Mammalia; Primates; Hominidae. The record is from RNAcentral.
ACAGCAAAGUAGUCAGGAACAGAUCUAGU